This 73-nucleotide transfer RNA is filed under the name Trichonephila inaurata madagascariensis. It matches the Rfam family "tRNA". From Rfam's summary of the family: Transfer RNA (tRNA) molecules are approximately 80 nucleotides in length. Their secondary structure includes four short double-helical elements and three loops (D, anti-codon, and T loops). Lineage: Eukaryota; Metazoa; Arthropoda; Arachnida; Araneae; Nephilidae. The record is from Rfam by way of RNAcentral.
AGGGGCGUAGCUCAGAUGGUAGAAUGCUCGCUUAGCAUGCGAGAGGUACAGGAUUCGAUACCCGGCGCCUCCA